GUGCUCACUUUGGCAGUUCAUAUACUAAAAUUGGAAAAAUACAGAAAUUAGCAUGGCCCCUGUACAAGAAUGACACAGAAAUUUGUGAAGCAUUCCAUAUUUUU
Myotis lucifugus (little brown bat) is the source of this 104-nucleotide small nuclear RNA. Lineage: Eukaryota; Metazoa; Chordata; Mammalia; Chiroptera; Vespertilionidae. The record is from Ensembl.